This 483-nucleotide ribosomal RNA is filed under the name uncultured bacterium. RNAcentral's name for it is "partial 16S ribosomal RNA". It matches the Rfam family "Bacterial small subunit ribosomal RNA", at positions 28 to 507 of the family's 1533-position model. The record is from RNAcentral.
GACGAACGCUGGCGGCGUGCUUAACACAUGCAAGUCGAACGCUGAAGCUCAGCUUUUGUUGGGUGGAUGAGUGGCGAACGGGUGAGUAACACGUGAGUAACCUGCCCCCUUCUUUGGGAUAACGCCCGGAAACGGGUGCUAAUACUGGAUAUUCACUGGUCUUCGCAUGGGGGUUGGUGGAAAGGGUUUUUCUGGUGGGGGAUGGGCUCGCGGCCUAUCAGCUUGUUGGUGGGGUGAUGGCCUACCAAGGCUUUGACGGGUAGCCGGCCUGAGAGGGUGAACGGUAACAUUGGGACUGAGAUACGGCCCAGACUCCUACGGGAGGCAGCAGUGGGGAAUAUUGCACAAUGGGCGCAAGCCUGAUGCAGCGACGCCGCGUGAGGGAUGGAGGCCUUCGGGUUGUGAACCUCUUUCGCUCAUGGUCAAGCCGCAACAAUGGUUGUGGUGAGGGUAGUGGGUAAAGAAGCGCCGGCUAACUACGUG